Long non-coding RNA from Mustela erminea (ermine), 100 nucleotides. RefSeq lists it as uncharacterized. NCBI's taxonomy places the organism in Eukaryota, Metazoa, Chordata, Mammalia, Carnivora, Mustelidae. The record is from RefSeq and is a predicted model, not a curated record. The transcript has 3 exons.
AAGUGGGGGCGCCUAGGGGGCUCACUGGGUUACGCAUCUGCCUUCAGCUCAGGUCAUGAUCCCAGGGUCCUGGGAUCGAGUCCAUGUCCGUCUCCCUGCU